UUCUUUCACCGGAGCUUGCUCCACCGAAAGAAAAGGAGUGGCGAACGGGUGAGUAACACGUGGGUAACCUGCCCAUCAGAAGGGGAUAACACUUGGAAACAGGUGCUAAUACCGUAUAACAAUCGAAACCGCAUGGUUUCGGUUUGAAAGGCGCUUUUGCGUCACUGAUGGAUGGACCCGCGGUGCAUUAGCUAGUUGGUGAGGUAACGGCUCACCAAGGCAACGAUGCAUAGCCGACCUGAGAGGGUGAUCGGCCACAUUGGGACUGAGACACGGCCCAAACUCCUACGGGAGGCAGCAGUAGGGAAUCUUCGGCAAUGGACGGAAGUCUGACCGAGCAACGCCGCGUGAGUGAAGAAGGUUUUCGGAUCGUAAAACUCUGUUGUUAGAGAAGAACAAGGAUGAGAGUAGAAUGUUCAUCCCUUGACGGUAUCUAACCAGAAAGCCACGGCUAACUACGUGCCAGCAGCCGCGGUAAUACGUAGGUGGCAAGCGUUGUCCGGAUUUAUUGGGCGUAAAGCGAGCGCAGGCGGUUUCUUAAGUCUGAUGUGGAAGCCCCCGGCUCAACCGGGGAGGGUCAUUGGAAACUGGGAAACUUGAGUGCAGAAGAGGAGAGUGGAAUUCCAUGUGUAGCGGUGAAAUGCGUAGAUAUAUGGAGGAACACCA
Molecule: ribosomal RNA, 666 nt
Filed under: uncultured Bacilli bacterium
Lineage: Bacteria; Bacillati; Bacillota; Bacilli
Description: bacterial SSU rRNA
Rfam family: Bacterial small subunit ribosomal RNA
Source: RNAcentral